AAGUCGUAACAAGGUAACCGUAGGUGAACCUGCGGUUGGAUCAUUACCGAUCUAAGCCCUGACAAAGGGCGAUCUACACCUGUGAACUGUACUGUGAUUGGCAGCGGGGCGCAAGCUCCACGUCAGGCAGACUCCCUGGACUCUGGCUGGGAUGCUGCCAUCUGUCACAAACAACUUACAAAUUUGACUGAUCUCAUCACGUUUUACGUGAUACAAACCAAAAACAACUUUCGACAAUGGAUCUCUUGGCUCUC
This 254-nucleotide unclassified non-coding RNA is filed under the name fungal sp. Its description in RNAcentral is "partial internal transcribed spacer region". The stretch from base 1 to 46 matches the Rfam family "Eukaryotic small subunit ribosomal RNA", at positions 1786 to 1831 of the family's 1831-position model. The record is from RNAcentral. Lineage: Eukaryota; Fungi.